GGAUGCGAUCAUACCAGCACUAAAGCACCAGAUCCUAUUAGUACUCCGAAGUUAAGCGUGCUUGGGCGAGAGUAGUACUACGAUCGGUGACCUCCUAGGAAGUCCUUGUGUUGCAUCCC
This is a non-coding RNA of Oryza punctata, 119 nucleotides long. Lineage: Eukaryota; Viridiplantae; Streptophyta; Magnoliopsida; Poales; Poaceae. The record is from Rfam.